GUAAAUUUAGUAUUAUAUGUCAUUUUUUCAGAGUGAAGAGGUAAUUUUAUC
Molecule: transfer RNA, 51 nt
Filed under: Parachtes ignavus
Lineage: Eukaryota; Metazoa; Arthropoda; Arachnida; Araneae; Dysderidae
Description: tRNA-Glu
Source: RNAcentral